ACGAACGCUGGCGGCGUGCUUAACACCUGCAAGUCGAACGGAAAGGCCCUGCUUGCAGGGUACUCGAGUGGCGAACGGGUGAGUAACACGUGGGUGAUCUGCCCUGCACUUCGGGAUAAGCCUGGGAAACUGGGUCUAAUACCGGAUAGGAGCCAUUUUUAGUGUGAUGGUUGGAAAGUUUUUUCGGUGUAGGAUGAGCUCGCGGCCUAUCAGCUUGUUGGUGGGGUAAUGGCCUACCAAGGCGGCGACGGGUAGCCGGCCUGAGAGGGUGGACGGCUACAUUUGGACUGAGAUACGGCCCAGACUCCUACGGGAGGCAGCAGUGGGGAAUAUUGCACAAUGGGCGCAAGCCUGAUGCAGCGACGCCGCGUGGGGGAUGACGGCCUUCGGGUUGUAAACUCCUUUCGCUAGGGACGAAGCUUUUUGUGACGGUACCUAGAUAAGAAGCACCGGCUAACUACGUG
Molecule: ribosomal RNA, 464 nt
Filed under: uncultured bacterium
Lineage: Bacteria
Description: partial 16S ribosomal RNA
Rfam family: Bacterial small subunit ribosomal RNA
Source: RNAcentral